Molecule: ribosomal RNA, 430 nt
Filed under: uncultured microorganism
Description: bacterial SSU rRNA
Rfam family: Bacterial small subunit ribosomal RNA
Source: RNAcentral
GAGUUUGAUCGUGGCUCAGAUUGAACGCUGGCGGCAUGCCUUACACAUGCAAGUCGAACGGCAGCAUGAUCUAGCUUGCUAGAUUGAUGGCGAGUGGCGAACGGGUGAGUAAUACAUCGGAACGUGCCCUGUAGUGGGGAUAACUAGUCGAAAGAUUAGCUAAUACCGCAUACGACCUGAGGGUGAAAGUGGGGGACCGCAAGGCCUCAUGCUAUAGGAGCGGCCGAUGUCUGAUUAGCUAGUUGGUGGGGUAAAGGCCCACCAAGGCGACGAUCAGUAGCUGGUCUGAGAGGACGAUCAGCCACACUGGGACUGAGACACGGCCCAGACUUCUACGGGAGGCAGCAGUGGGGAAUUUUGGACAAUGGGCGAAAGCCUGAUCCAGCAAUGCCGCGUGUGUGAAGAAGGCCUCGGUUGUAAGUACGACUUU